This 253-nucleotide ribosomal RNA is filed under the name uncultured bacterium. RNAcentral describes it as "partial 16S ribosomal RNA". It matches the Rfam family "Bacterial small subunit ribosomal RNA", at positions 524 to 776 of the family's 1533-position model. The record is from RNAcentral.
UACGUAGGACCCGAGCGUUGUCCGGAAUUACUGGGUGUAAAGGGUGCGCAGGCGGGCUUGUGCGUCAGAGGUUAAAGGCCCCGGCUCAACCGGGGAGAUGCCUUUGAUACGGCAAGUCUUGAGUACUAGAGAGGAUGGUGGAAUUCCUGGUGUAGCGGUGAAAUGCGUAGAUAUCAGGAGGAACACCCGUGGCGAAGGCGGCCAUCUGGCUAGUAACUGACGCUCAGGCACGAAAGCGUGGGUAGCGAACAGG